This is a long non-coding RNA of Haliotis rubra (blacklip abalone), 956 nucleotides long. RefSeq lists it as uncharacterized. The record is from RefSeq and is a predicted model, not a curated record. Lineage: Eukaryota; Metazoa; Mollusca; Gastropoda; Lepetellida; Haliotidae. The transcript has 2 exons.
AGACGAAGACUUGUAUUCACUGUUCCAUCCUGACCGCACGUGUAUGUGGGCCUUAGAAUAACUAGACUUCUCAAGAUGUGCAGUCGGAUCUUGCUUUUCUGUAUUGUAUCUUCAUGUUCACGUUUAGUCGACACCAAUGUAUGUACUGACUUGAACAAGAUCCCACAGCUUGCCAAGGAUAGUAACCUGUUGGUAUCUUUGGAACUCAGCAAACAAUUGAUAGACUCGUCUCUUCUAAAAUGCGUACAACGUUGUCACGGAUGGACACUGUGUAAAUCAUUUGAUUUCAACUUUGGAAAUUCUGACUGUUCUCUUAAUACAGUCAACAGCUCUGAUUUAAGCCCAGAACUACUCAUACAACAAGUCGGAAUGGGUCACAGUUCAAUAUCAGAUUGGCCUAACAGUUUUGCUGGUGCAUGUCAAGAUCACAGUUGUCCUAAUGACCAAUAUUGUGAAGACGUUGAUGGUGCCCCAACCUGCCACUCGAUCUAAUCGGAAGAACGGCACAGUUUCCUCACUUGUGUUGAUUCUGCAGUAUCUUGAGGAAGACCACAAUGUGCAUGUGAAGAACAAAAUGCUCAAAACACACAAAAGACGUGUGAACAGUUUCUUGACUUAAUUCUAUAUAUGGACGUUUUGCGUGCGGCGUUAAGCAGCAAAUAUAUGAACAGAAUUGAAAGAAUUUAAAUUUAAUCGGACAAUCAAAUCGUUUCCAGUUAAGUCUUCAUAUCGAUGUAAUGUCUAACAACCUUAUUUUCAAUGCGAUUUCUUGUUGCUCCUAAUUUAGAUUUGAUGUAAAUUAUUUCAUUUCAAACAUGUGUUAGAUUGUGUUACAAUUUACGUCGGAACAAUGUGUCAUUGACAAAAUACUCUAAUAUACUGAACAGCAAAAGAAACGCAAGUUUCGAAAAAUGAAAUCUCAUAAAAGUAAGCGUUUAUGUUUAUGUCUUCUAUUU